Brienomyrus brachyistius is the source of this 1347-nucleotide RNA transcript. It is a transcript of the gene named ring finger protein 175, with no coding region annotated. The record is from RefSeq and is a predicted model, not a curated record. NCBI's taxonomy places the organism in Eukaryota, Metazoa, Chordata, Actinopteri, Osteoglossiformes, Mormyridae. The transcript has 10 exons.
CAGCGGUGCUCUGUGAAUAGCGGCCGCAGCCGAAGGAUGGCGGAGUGCCGCAGGGCGGAGGCAUGGCUGCAGCUGUCGGGCAGAGUGAUAUUCUGAAAAUGACCCAUAGAGAAAAUUGGAAGAUACAGCAUGAGAAGCUGCACGUCACGCACCGUGGCCAUGAGGCCAUGCACGCCGAGAUGGUCCUCAUCCUCAUCGCCGCCCUGCUGGUGGCGCAGGUCGUGCUGGUGCAGUGGAAGCAGAGGCACUGCCGGUCCUACAGCCUGGUGACCCUGCUUCAGAUGUGGGUUGUCCCGCUGUACUUCACCAUGAAGCUGUACUGGUGGCGGUUUCUCUCCACGUGGGGGAUGUUCUCAGUCAUAACCAGCUACGUCAUCUUCAGAGCCACCCGGAAGCCCCUGUCAGGCAGGACGCCGCGGAUGGUGUAUAAGUGGUUCCUUCUCAUCUACAAGCUGAGCUAUGCGGUGGGGGUCGUGGGUUACCUCGCCAUCAUGUUCACCAUGUUCGGGUUUAACGUGUUCUUCAGAAUUAAAGCAGAAGACUCGAUGGAUGUUGGCGUCAUUCUCUUGUUUUAUGGCUUGUACUACGGGGUGAUGGGUCGGGACUUCGCAGAGAUAUGCUCGGAUUACAUGGCUUCAACAAUCGGGUACUACAGCGGCGGGGGCGUGCCGUCCAGGAGCCUCUGCCAGGACAUCUGCGCAGUGUGUGGCCAGAAGAUUCUGGUGGAUGUCAAUGAAGAAGGGAUCAUCGAGGACACGUACCAGCUCUCGUGUAAUCACAGAUUCCAUGAAUUCUGCAUCCGGGGAUGGUGCAUCGUGGGUAAGAAGCAGACCUGUCCCUAUUGCAACGAAAAGGUCGACCUUCAGAGAAUGAUGAAUAAUCCCUGGGAGCGGACACACGUUUUGUACGGUCAGCUUUUGGACUGGCUGCGCUACCUUGUUGCAUGGCAACCUGUCAUAAUUGGAAUCGUUCACGGCAUCAACUUCACUUUAGGUCUGGAAUAGCGCCUUUCUGCUUGCCCGUAUGUUUUGGUUCCACAUCUGCUCGUAGUUAUUUUCUGCGCCGUCUGAAUGGACUGAAACUGACCUAUUAAGAUGCCUCUUGUUGACACACUCGGAUACAUCGGACAUUGUAACAAGUUGUUUGCACGUGGAUAUUUUCUAAGACGAUGCAGAGGAACUUGAGAGCUAAAUGAGAUGCUGGUGCUCCAGCACCACACACCUUCCCUCCAGAGCCCGUCCUACCAGAUGUUGUGCUUCCAGAGUCCAUCUCACCAGACCAUAUGCCUCUAGAAUUCAACCUAGGCCCCAAGGAACUCCUGUCCAUAUCUCCAGUCUCUGGCCCAGA